This is a long non-coding RNA of Astyanax mexicanus (Mexican tetra), 968 nucleotides long. RefSeq lists it as uncharacterized. The transcript is spliced from 4 exons. The record is from RefSeq and is a predicted model, not a curated record. NCBI's taxonomy places the organism in Eukaryota, Metazoa, Chordata, Actinopteri, Characiformes, Acestrorhamphidae.
GCUCUGUUACCAUUGUUACUUAAUCAAACUCUAACAAAACAGAUUCUAACCACACAUAUACUAUAACCAGUCUCGCUAAUCACAUAUUUCUCUUUUUAUUGUUCUUUUUUAUUCUUCUGUGUGUUUUUGUGACGGAGCCCCAGCUCUGCAGUAAACAGUCAGAUCUGUGGUUGGGUCGCCUGAAGACUGUUCAUUAAAACUGGUAAGCUCUGUUACCAUUGUUACUUAAUCAAACUCUAACGAAACAGAUUCUAACCGUGCAUAUACUAUAACCAGUCUUGCUAACCGCAUAAUUUCUUUUUUAUUGUUCUUUUUUAUUCUUCUGUGUGUAUUUGUGACGGAGCCCCAGCUCUGCAGUAAACAGUCAGAUCUGUGGUUGGGUCGUCUGAAGACUGUUCACUAAAACUGGUAAGCUCUGUUACCAUUGUUACCUAAUCAGACUCUUCAACUAAACAUAUUCUAACCACAUAUAUACUCUAACCAGUAUCGCUAACCACAGAUUUCUCUUUCUGUCAUAUUUGUUAUUUUUUCUGUGUGUAUUUGUGACUGAGCCCCAGCUCUGCAGUGAACACUCAGAUCUGUGGUUGGGUCGUCUGAAGACUGUUCACAAAAGCUGCCCCAGCUGUGCAGGAAAGAGUCAGAUCUGUGAUUGGGCGAUCUGAAGACUGUUCACUAAAACUGAUUUUUCUGUGCCAAUUUGUUAGAUCUGUGAUUAGAUCAGUUAGAUCUGUGGUUGGGUCGUCUGAAGACUGUUCACAAAAACUGGUAGACUUCUCCUAUGGCUGUGUAUGUCUAUAGCAUGUUUAAGUGUUUCCAGAUGUAUACCAUAAGACCUUAUUUAAGCAGGUCCCCAAGUCCGGAGGGAGAGAGAGCAGGAACAUCAAAUUGGGCUACAUGUCUCUCCAGGGCUGGCCUAGGACCACCUUGAAGAUAUUGUCUUAGUCUUUGUAAUAAAAAAUUGUAUUGUA